RNAcentral lists this long non-coding RNA (3508 nucleotides) under Ailuropoda melanoleuca (giant panda). RNAcentral's name for it is "lncRNA (ENSAMEG00000027446.1)". The record is from RNAcentral. Lineage: Eukaryota; Metazoa; Chordata; Mammalia; Carnivora; Ursidae.
AUGGAAGGGAACCCAAGACACAUCCAGAGGAGCUCCAUGAGAUGUGCGGGCUUGCCUAAGUCUGCACCAACAGUCCCUGGCAAGGCCGGAGGUCAGCGGGGCUGCCACCAGGCAGAAGGGGGCCCUCGCUGGCUGCCUGGGCGCCCACCUUGUGAAGCCCAGGCUCCAAGCGGCUUGACGCCCCCCUGGCCUUCGCCUGGCCUGCUUCACCAGCUCCAGGUACUCCUGCACCUUCCGCGGCGCAAAGGCCGCGGGGCCCGCGCUUCCACAGUUGCCACACGGCCCCGGGAGCGGGGAAGGACGGUUGGCGGGAAGCCUGGGUGCUGGGGUCUGGAAUUUGGGGCACAGCGGGAGGCCUCCCGAGGCCCUGGGCCCGACGCCGNNNNNNNNNNNNNNNNNNNNNNNNNNNNNNNNNNNNNNNNNNNNNNNNNNNNNNNNNNNNNNNNNNNNNNNNNNNNNNNNNNNNNGGCGGUCCGGGGCGGGGGGCGACGGCGAGGACGACGGGCCGGUGUGGAUCCCCAGCCCGGCCAGCCGCAGCUACCUGCUCAGCGUGAGGCCCGAGACCAGCUUAUCAAGCAACCGGUUGUCUCACCCCAGCUCUGGAAGGUGGGACACCUUAUGGUGGAUCUUCUGACGGUGGUGCCUGCCCUACAUGGUCCCCCCAGUCCCUUAAGUUCUUCUACCACCUCCUUCUCUCAUUCCCCUCUCCUUCAGCUCUCUCCACCACCGUGCGCAGGACUGUGCACUCUGUGAGGGCAGGGAACGCCUCGUUAGCAUAGUCCUGCACUCGCUUGUUCUCGGACUGUGCUUCAGAGGCAGGGCAGGACCUGAGCAGACCCACGGUCGGUUGGGGUGCACCCAUGGAAUGCCUGUCCUCUUGCCUCCCAAGCUGGGGACAGCUUUUUACUGCUGGCUGAGCUGACUUUUAUAAUCAAAGUGGGAACAUUUCCUGGCUCUCUCCCCCCACUUGGGCCUCAUCCAGACUCUGGUGGAUUUGGGGAGAGUUGCCUACAGUUUCUUUACACAGAGAAAGAUUCCUGAGUAGCCAGCUGGCCCCCCAAAUAGCUAACAAUGCCUACAAGCACGAUUAGGACCUACCAUAUACGUUCCCUUUGAUAUAAGAGAGCGCUGAGGAACCUUUGUUCUGGGUUGGUUCAGGGUCUGCAGGGGUGGAAGAGAAGGCAUCACAAACAAUUCUAAGUGGAGUGCUAAGUGCUAAAAGAGAAAGGACCUUCGGCGUUUAUUUAAAGCAAGGUAAAGAACCAAACCUGAGAGCAGAGUUAAGUUCCUUUGAACACCACGAAAGCCAGCGAUUCUGGUAUUCCUUAGAAACACACGAUGAGGCUGUGAUAUCCUUAUGAAGUCACAGAGUUGGAAAGCCUUGGAGGUGUCCGGGUGGGACCAGACCGUUUCCAGAUGUGUGGACUUCUGGCUUUCCAGGACCCUGGAAGCAGCUCAUUCACAGUCCGUCAGAGUGGUCUGGAGGAGGGGGACAGAAAGUGGGUGACAUGCAGUAGAUAACGUAUGCAGGACUCUCCCUGUCUCCCCUAAUGCACCCCAGACCCACCUCCCAGAGGGCUUUCGGCUAGCCAUGCCUUUGAACAGUCAUGUAUGAUUUUCCCAUGCAAGCAUUUUCUAUAAUGUAGCUUAGAACCCUAGUGUGGGAAGUUGGAGAAGAUGAGUGUUCUUUCCUGCUCAAAGUCAGUAACUAGCUGUGGCUGGAUUAUCUAGCAUGAGCACGGCCUCUGCACAUUUUCCUCGAAGCAGAAUUUCCCCCAUCUUCUCGCGGCAGUCCAUUUCCAGUAGCUUAUUUCCUUAGACUCAUCCAAGCAGCUCAUCCUUACGAGCCUAAGCUGAAUAUUGGCUCCCGGCUCGUGGUCAUGAGUAAGAUAGGGUUCAGGUUAUGGAGGGAGGACCGAAUGAGGGAUGUUUUGAAUUAGAUGCAACAUCACGGAAGUCCAAUUCCUCUUGGCCCAGCAGUUUCUUCUGGCAACUGGUGGCUGGGAGUUGGUAUGACCCAAAGUCAGAAAUUUGCUCUUAGUGCGAGACCAGCAAGAAACAUUUUCAUGUUCUCUUCCUGAGUGUCAGGGAGUUGAAGGACCCUCUAUUCCUGAGUCAGUGAGAGGAAAAGGACAAGCCGUGUAUGAGAGAGGAGUUCUAGAUGACAGUGUCACAGGGAGUGGCCUAGAAGCCUGGUUGCAGACCCAGUUCAAGUGUUCAGGUGUGUGAGAGUUUAGGGUCCCCUUUCUGGGCAGCCUUUGUCAGGGAGGGCUCCUGUCAAUGCCCCAAGGGCCCAGGCAUCUGCAUUCCUGUGGAGACACCACAGCUGGAGCCCUGUUGGUCCAGAAGUAUUCCCUGAUUCCAGACGCUCUUCCUGGGAUAGAACCUUUCUCCUCAAACUCAAGUCCAGAAUGACAUGCCCAGAAACGAUGAGCUGAAUGUGGAAGCUCUCGCCACAAAGCACAGGGUUGUAGCCCCUUGUUGCUGCACUCCCACAGAUCCUCCCCGGACCCCUGGUGGAGAGGGCUCGAGCAGACACGCAUUGCCUGGGUGCCCGCCCCUCCUCCGAGGCACGGAGAAAGGCAGACCCUCCUGCUUCUGUUCACUUCUCCCCUCACGGUGCUCACUGCUGCUCACGGUGGGCUGUGUGAGUAGGGAGGGGGAGGGCUGGGCACGGCUUGGGCACCAGACAGCCUGGCUGUGUGGUUACGCUUCACGCCUAGGGACGCAUUGUGUCUCUGCUGGCCCAUGAGAGGGUUUGGCAUGGUGGUUUGCUUCCUGUGCCCAGGAAGGAGAGGACUACAUGCUAAGCAGUGUCAGCGAGUCCGUGCUGGACUCAGUGAGGCUGCAAAUGCCCUUGAAUUCUGGGCAGUAGACUGUCACAAUGAACUCAGAGUCCUGGCUUUUGCAGGGAUGGAUCUAUGUAUGGUUUGGCAGUUGUGCUGGUUGGUCUUAGGCCUGGCGGCCGUGUAUUCACUUGAGCACGUGGUACCCAGGCACCCAAGAGCAGACUCUCUUUUCUGAUCCCCUACGAUUAGAGUCCACCUUUGGAUCUAGACCCCUGGCAUUGGCUGGCUCAUUCUUUGUCUACCAUGGUCUUAUGCUCAUAAAUUUGGGGGCUUUUCUUCUGAGCCCAGACAUUAGGAGUGGCACCUGAACUGUGUAUCCUUGAGAAUUGACUGGUUUUUCCCUCUUUGGCAUGAAUGGAAGCUCUGCUGUGCUGGGGUCUCUAUCUCUGAGGCUGGACCUAUCUGUAUGUGUGCCACCCCCAUGCACGAGCUUUCCUGGAGAUAAAUGGUAGAGAGUAAAGCAAGGGCCUCCAAUAAGGAUGGGAAGGGGACCCUAGGGCUGGUGGUUUGGCAUGCUGAGGAGCCUGGCCCAUGGUCAGAAGCCUGCCUAUUGUAAUGGGUCUGGAUCAGGAUUCCAUUCCGCCCCUCUGUACCAUCCCUGCCCCCAACCUGGCCGAGAGAUCUGACUCCCUUGAAGAAAGACUUGCUCAGGUACUGGA